GUGAGGAGAUGUGAGUUAGGGAUGUGAGGUGAUAGGUGAGGAGAUGUGAGUUAGGGCUGUGAGGUGAUAGGUGAGGAGAUGUGAGUUAGGGCUGUGAGGUGAUAGGUGAGGAGAUGUGAGUUAGGGCUGUGAGGUGAUAGGUGAGGAGAUGUGAGUUAGGGCUGUGAGGUGAUAGGUGAGGAGAUGUGAGUUAGGGCUGUGAGGUGAUAGGUGAGGAGAUGUGAGUUAGGGCUGUGAGGUGAUAGGUGAGGAGAUGUGAGUUAGGGCUGUGAGGUGAUAGGUGAGGAGAUGUGAGUUAGGGAUGUGAGGUGAUAGGUGAGGAGAUGUGAGUUAGGGCUGUGAGGUGAUAGGUG
Long non-coding RNA from Coregonus clupeaformis (lake whitefish), 353 nucleotides. RefSeq lists it as uncharacterized. NCBI's taxonomy places the organism in Eukaryota, Metazoa, Chordata, Actinopteri, Salmoniformes, Salmonidae. The record is from RefSeq and is a predicted model, not a curated record. The transcript has 3 exons.